Long non-coding RNA from Ostrinia nubilalis (European corn borer), 1023 nucleotides. RefSeq lists it as uncharacterized. Lineage: Eukaryota; Metazoa; Arthropoda; Insecta; Lepidoptera; Crambidae. The record is from RefSeq and is a predicted model, not a curated record. The transcript is spliced from 2 exons.
CAAAUAGGCUAGUUGCCUCAUGUCACCAUUUAUCAUAAUAACUUUUAAUUCAAAUAUUAUUCUGUACAAGGGUCCGAAAUAUAUAAACUUCAAUAAAUAUAAAUAAGGGAUUGCUGUAAAAAUUCAACUGAAACCCGUUAAUUUUUUACUUUUUUUUCUCUUGACUGAAAACACCGUCCGCCAUGUUUCUACGUCACCAAUAUUGUAAACAACAAAACGUCAAACUCUAGUUUCAGGUUAUUCGUGGUCAUUCAUAUAAACGCCUUGUUUUCACAUAAAAAUAUUGUACAGUUCGCAUUUAUUGAAAAUAAUCAUGGAUCCUGAGUUUGUGAAAGCAGAAAGCACAAAUCUGCUCAAAAUCGACACAUUGAUGGUUGCAAAAUUGUUUGCUUUAAAUCCUGAUUUCUGCUCAGCUAAGCUAAGGAAUGUUAAGUUAACUAAGUCUGCAGGAGAAUCAUAUUAUGGUGAUGAUGCAAUUGGUUAUGUUCAACUUAAAAGGGAAAGUAAAAUCUACACUGUGAAAUGUAAAAUGUGUCCUGAACAUAAGGUGCACUCUAAGCAGUAUCAGUUUCAGCAGUCAUUGAUGAAGAAGAAGAGAUUAUGUUGUUUGUCAAGAUUGUCCAGCUGCAGCAGGGGGCUGCAAACAUGCUGUUGCAUUUUUAAUGUAGUUGCAUCGUCGCAGUGAAGAGACAUCUUGCACAUCAGUAGAAUGCUACUGAAAAAAAUCCAAUCAUUCAAAAGUCGGCAGCACAAAACAUCAGGUUCCGGAACCAGAUACCAGUGUUAUGGAGGAAUUUGUAAUUGAAUGCAAAAACCGAAAAAUUAAAUCAUGUCAGUUUAUCAAGCAUGUUGGAGAUUAUGAAGAGGUAAAAAGUUAGUCGGUGCAGAACGCAUGAUGGUUCUUUGGUUGCAAAGAUUUUUGGUGCAAGGUCUGUGUUGAUGGCUGCAAUGAAACGAGGCCAAAAGCCGAUUUGUCCUAAACUAUUUGAAAGUGUAACUCAAUAAUAAAUCAUUUAACUCUUA